CAAGUUCAGUGAUGAGGCCCUAGAAUACCCUAGACACAGAGCCGAAUCAUUCCUUGUUACCUUCCUUCCAAGAGG
Molecule: small nucleolar RNA, 75 nt
Filed under: Heterocephalus glaber (naked mole-rat)
Lineage: Eukaryota; Metazoa; Chordata; Mammalia; Rodentia; Bathyergidae
Description: Small nucleolar RNA U83B (ENSHGLG00000040145.1)
Rfam family: Small nucleolar RNA U83B
About the family: U83B belongs to the C/D family of snoRNAs. U83B like U83A has no documented RNA target and they share the same host gene with the C/D box snoRNA U43 (RPL3).
Source: RNAcentral